GACGGGACCGCACAAGCGGUGGAUGAUGUGGUUAAUUCGAUGCAACGCGAAAACCUUACCCACCUUUGACAUGUACGGAAUCCUUUAGAGAUAGAGGAGUGCUCGAAAGAGAACCGUAACACAGGUGCUGCAUGGCUGUCGUCAGCUCGUGUCGUGAGAUGUUGGGUUAAGUCCCGCAACGAGCGCAACCCUUGUCAUUAGUUGCUACAUUCAGUUGGGCACUCUAAUGAGACUGCCGGUGACAAACCGGAGGAAGGUGGGGAUGACGUCAAGUCCUCAUGGCCCUUAUAGGUGGGGCUACACACGUCAUACAAUGGAUGGUACAAAGGGUCGCCAACCCGCGAGGGGGAGCCAAUCCCAUAAAGCCAUUCGUAGUCCGGAUCGCAGUCUGCAACUCGACUGCGUGAAGUCGGAAUCGCUAGUAAUCGUGGAUCAGAAUGUCACGGUGAAUACGUUCCCGGGUCUU
RNAcentral lists this ribosomal RNA (466 nucleotides) under uncultured Acidovorax sp. Its description in RNAcentral is "bacterial SSU rRNA". It matches the Rfam family "Bacterial small subunit ribosomal RNA", at positions 917 to 1381 of the family's 1533-position model. The record is from RNAcentral. Lineage: Bacteria; Pseudomonadati; Pseudomonadota; Betaproteobacteria; Burkholderiales; Comamonadaceae.